Molecule: long non-coding RNA, 97 nt
Organism: Photinus pyralis (common eastern firefly)
Lineage: Eukaryota; Metazoa; Arthropoda; Insecta; Coleoptera; Lampyridae
Exons: 2
Source: RefSeq, a predicted model, not a curated record
UAAAACUAAAAAAAGAAAUAGAGAAAGAUAGCGGGAAAGAAAAGCGCGAAUGAUGAUGAUUGAUAAUGGCACGGAAUGAUAACAGGGAAGAAAAACG